GGAAUCUUCCGCAAUGGACGAAAGUCUGACGGAGCAACGCCGCGUGAGUGAAGAAGGUUUUCGGAUCGUAAAACUCUGUUGUCAGAGAAGAACAAGUUGGAGAGUAACUGCUCCAGCCUUGACGGUAUCUGACCAGAAAGCCACGGCUAACUACGUGCCAGCAGCCGCGGUAAUACGUAGGUGGCAAGCGUUGUCCGGAUUUAUUGGGCGUAAAGCGAGCGCAGGCGGUUCCUUAAGUCUGAUGUGAAAGCCCACGGCUCAACCGUGGAAGGUCAUUGGAAACUGGGGAACUUGAGUGCAGAAGAGGAGAGUGGAAUUCCAUGUGUAGCGGUGAAAUGCGUAGAUAUAUGGAGGAACACCAGUGGCGAAGGCGACUCUCUGGUCUGUAACUGACGCUGAGGCUCGAAAGCGUGGGGAGCAAACAGGAUUAGAUACCCCAG
RNAcentral lists this ribosomal RNA (440 nucleotides) under uncultured Trichococcus sp. Its description in RNAcentral is "bacterial SSU rRNA". It matches the Rfam family "Bacterial small subunit ribosomal RNA", at positions 358 to 790 of the family's 1533-position model. Lineage: Bacteria; Bacillati; Bacillota; Bacilli; Lactobacillales; Carnobacteriaceae. The record is from RNAcentral.